GCCAGGCAUGGUAGCGCAUGCUUGUAAUCCCAGCUACUCAGGAGGCUGAGGCAUGAGAAUUGCUUGAACCCAGGAGGCAGAGGUUGCAGUGAGCUGAGAUCAUGCCACUGUACUCUAGCCUGGGCAACAAAGCAAGAUCCUGUCUCAA
This 148-nucleotide non-coding RNA is filed under the name Pan troglodytes (chimpanzee). Lineage: Eukaryota; Metazoa; Chordata; Mammalia; Primates; Hominidae. The record is from Rfam by way of RNAcentral.